This 301-nucleotide ribosomal RNA is filed under the name uncultured bacterium. Its description in RNAcentral is "partial 16S ribosomal RNA". It matches the Rfam family "Bacterial small subunit ribosomal RNA", at positions 509 to 807 of the family's 1533-position model. The record is from RNAcentral.
CAGCAGCCACGGUAAUACGAAGGGUGCAAGCGUUACUCGGAAUUACUGGGCGUAAAGCGUGCGUAGGUGGUUGUUUAAGUCUGCUGUGAAAGCCCUGGGCUCAACCUGGGAAUUGCAGUGGAUACUGGGCGACUAGAGUAAGGUAGAGGAUAGUGGAAUUUCCGGUGUAGCAGUGAAAUGCGUAGAGAUCGGAAGGAACAUCUGUGGCGAAGGCGACUAUCUGGGCCAUUACUGACACUGAGGCACGAAAGCGUGGGGAGCAAACAGGAUUAGAGACCCCUGUAGUCCCUGUCUCUUAUAC